RNAcentral lists this ribosomal RNA (395 nucleotides) under uncultured actinomycete. Its description in RNAcentral is "bacterial SSU rRNA". It matches the Rfam family "Bacterial small subunit ribosomal RNA", at positions 229 to 636 of the family's 1533-position model. The record is from RNAcentral. Lineage: Bacteria; Bacillati; Actinomycetota; Actinomycetes; Actinomycetales.
GCCCGCGGCCUAUCAGCUUGUUGGUGGGGUAAUGGCCUACCAAGGCUUCGACGGGUAGCCGGCCUGAGAGGGUGACCGGCCACACUGGGACUGAGACACGGCCCAGACUCCUACGGGAGGCAGCAGUGGGGAAUAUUGCACAAUGGGCGGAAGCCUGAUCCAGCAACGCCGCGUGAGGGAUGACGGCCUUCGGGUUGUAAACCUCUUUCAGCAGGGACGAAGCGCAAGUGACGGUACCUGCAGAAGAAGCACCGGCCAACUACGUGCCAGCAGCCGCGGUAAUACGUAGGGUGCGAGCGUUGUCCGGAAUUAUUGGGCGUAAAGAGCUCGUAGGCGGUGUGUCGCGUCGGCCGUGAAAACCUGGGGCUUAACUCUGGGCUUGCGGUCGAUACGGG